ACACCAACAAAGAAAAAGAAGAAAAAAAAGAAAAAGAACAAUGACAAGAAGAGCAACGACAACGGAUUUGU
Molecule: non-coding RNA, 71 nt
Filed under: Thalassiothrix antarctica
Lineage: Eukaryota; Bacillariophyta; Fragilariophyceae; Thalassionematales; Thalassionemataceae
Source: RNAcentral